GUGUUCACCUUGACAGGGCCCUGUGCUAAUCACGAGUCUUUCCUGUUCAGAGCAGUGAGGCCUGAGACCCUCAACAGUGCUGUGUGUACAGAAGGCCCCCAGAAUCCACACAAAGGGGCCGCCUGAAACCUAGAGCAUUUGUGAAGGAGGAAAAUGGAAGGAACAACUGGAUGUUGUAAAUGUUUCUCAUCUGGCCUUAAAAUCCAUGAAAGCUGGAAAAUCACAAGGCAUCUGUGCACAUACUGGUGGAUUUUAAUGAGAGUCCUGUGUUUGGAGCACCAGAAAUAAACCAGCUUCAGAAGCAAAAACUAGGAGGAGGAAGCAGAGCUAGAGAUGGAAGGAGACCCAGCCAGCCCGGGCUCCAGUGACAUCGGCUGGUACACGCUUUUGUUUGCUUACGCUUGUUGAACUGAGUUUUUCAUAUGUAACUAACGAAUAGUGGCACAUGUGAGCCCGAGAAUUUGCAUUUCUGACAAGAUCCCAGGACCACCGCCUACUUUAAGAGAACACAGACAAUUCACCUCUAUAAAGGCACAGCAAGGAAAAGGAGUAGGCAGAGGUGACAGCAGAUCAUGGGGCUUCUCUUGAAAGGAAGACACCUCCCAGUGAUGAACCCUCAUCAUCCAUUUACUGACUUAUCCUUAUGUCACUAGGAUCUGAACGUCUAUGACACUCUUUCGAGCUGACACAGUGAAGAACAUGGAAGGAGAACUCACCCAGUCUGCCAGGGUCACAGAUGAUCAUACUCAAGAUCUUCCUGGGGAGUCAAUGGCAAAUUUCACUGGGCUAUUUUACAGAUGAAGAAGGAACAUAAAGAAGGUUCUGGGACCCU
Molecule: small RNA, 832 nt
Filed under: Pan troglodytes (chimpanzee)
Lineage: Eukaryota; Metazoa; Chordata; Mammalia; Primates; Hominidae
Description: retained intron
Source: RNAcentral